RNAcentral lists this ribosomal RNA (741 nucleotides) under uncultured bacterium. Its description in RNAcentral is "bacterial SSU rRNA". It matches the Rfam family "Bacterial small subunit ribosomal RNA", at positions 8 to 796 of the family's 1533-position model. The record is from RNAcentral.
AGAGUUUGAUCCUGGCUCAGAACGAACGCUGGCGGCAGGCUUAACACAUGCAAGUCGAGCGCCUCGCAAGAGGAGCGGCAGACGGGUGAGUAACGCGUGGGAAUCUACCUUUUGCUACGGAAUAACUCAGGGAAACUUGAGCUAAUACCGUAUGUGCCCUUUGGGGGAAAGAUUUAUCGGCAAAGGAUGAGCCCGCGUUGGAUUAGGUAGUUGGUGGGGUAAUGGCCUACCAAGCCGACGAUCCAUAGCUGGUCUGAGAGGAUGAUCAGCCACAUUGGGACUGAGACACGGCCCAAACUCCUACGGGAGGCAGCAGUGGGGAAUAUUGGACAAUGGGCGCAAGCCUGAUCCAGCCAUGCCGCGUGAGUGAUGAAGGCCCUAGGGUUGUAAAGCUCUUUCACCGGUGAAGAUAAUGACGGUAACCGGAGAAGAAGCCCCGGCUAACUUCGUGCCAGCAGCCGCGGUAAUACGAAGGGGGCUAGCGUUGUUCGGAAUUACUGGGCGUAAAGCGCACGUAGGCGGACAUUUAAGUCAGGGGUGAAAUCCCGGGGCUCAACCCCCGGAACUGCCUUUGAUACUGGGUGUCUUGAGUUCGAGAGAGGUGAGUGGAAUUCCGAGUGUAGAGGUGAAAUUCGUAGAUAUUCGGAGGAACACCAGUGGCGAAGGCGGCUCACUGGCUCGAUACUGACGCUGAGGUGCGAAAGCGUGGGGAGCAAACAGGAUUAGAUACCCUAGUAGUCC